GAUGAACGCUGGCGGCGUGCCUAAUACAUGCCAGUCGAGCGAACAGAUGAGGAGCUUGCUCCUCUGACGUUAGCGGCGGACGGGUGAGUAACACGUGGAUAACCUACCUAUAAGACUGGGAUAACUUCGGGAAACCGGAGCUAAUACCGGAUAAUAUAUUGAACCGCAUGGUUCAAUAGUGAAAGACGGUUUUGCUGUCACUUAUAGAUGGAUCCGCGCCGCAUUAGCUAGUUGGUAAGGUAACGGCUUACCAAGGCAACGAUGCGGAGCCGACCUGGGGGGGGGAUGGGCAACUGAGGAAGUGAGAACCGGUACAGACCCCGAGGGGAGGCAGAAGUGGGGAAUUUUCCGAAAAGGGGGAAAGCUUGACGGAGCAACGCCGGGUGGGUGAUGAAGGUUUUGGGGACGUAAAACGCUUUUAUGGGGGAAAAAAAAAUGGGUAAGUAACUAAGCACGUUUGACCGUUACUUAAGAAGAAAGCCCGGGCAAAAUCCGG
This 496-nucleotide ribosomal RNA is filed under the name uncultured bacterium. Its description in RNAcentral is "partial 16S ribosomal RNA". It matches the Rfam family "Bacterial small subunit ribosomal RNA", at positions 28 to 506 of the family's 1533-position model. The record is from RNAcentral.